Molecule: ribosomal RNA, 121 nt
Filed under: Lachnospiraceae bacterium
Lineage: Bacteria; Bacillati; Bacillota; Clostridia; Lachnospirales; Lachnospiraceae
Description: partial 23S ribosomal RNA
Rfam family: Bacterial large subunit ribosomal RNA
Source: RNAcentral
AGAUAUCCCAUAGCGUAAGCUAGUAAGACCCCUUGAAGACGACGAGGUUGAUAGGUCAGGAGUGUAAGCAUGGCAACAUGUUGAGCGGACUGAUACUAAUAGGUCGAGGGCUUGACCAGAA